Small nucleolar RNA from Ochotona princeps (American pika), 126 nucleotides. The record is from Ensembl. Lineage: Eukaryota; Metazoa; Chordata; Mammalia; Lagomorpha; Ochotonidae.
UUAGCACUUUUACAGGUCCUCCCCAGGCAGUGGGGCUAGGAUUAGGUAGCUGGUGCCAAGAGAAAACUGUUGAUUAUAUCUUUGCCCUGGACUGUAGUAGUGGCAGUGGUACUCGACGGUACAGAU